CUUGUAACUGUAAGAGAUGUUGAAGGAAGAUGCCUCUGUUCCCAUUUGUAGAUGGAGAUACAGAUCAGAGAGGCUGUGUAACUGGCCCCUGGACACUCACCUAGUUCAAUGAGAAGUUCCCUAAUCUUCUUUAAAGUUCAUUUAUUUUUCUUUUUAAUUGGGGGAUAAUUGCUUUACAAUGUUGUGUUGGUUUCUUCUGUACAGCAGUGUGAAUCAGCUGUCAGUAUAUAUUGAGCAAGGUCAACAGGGUGGCCAGUGAGCAUAAUCCAUGAGGUUACUGGUGUCCAUAGUAGCUUCAUAAUUAAGAAGCUGAGUGUGCCUGCUGCCAACUUUCUCACCUGUCAAUAGAAAAGAAAUAAUACCACCCCAUCUGCUACAAAGGUUGAUUGAAAAUAUCUUCAAGGAAACAGCUGGGUCCAGAAGCCAAGCUGGUGAAGGCUGAAUCCAUUGUAGCAGGGAGAUAAUUGGUCUCAGAAGAAAAGGCUUCCAAAAGCUCAGCUAUGGGCUUGGAAGCUUUGGGAAAUGAAGUGAAGACUGUCAGUGAUGGAUUUUUUUUUUUUCCCCUCAAGAGUGAGUCUUGUGCACAAAAAAAUGAUUCAAGGGU
This 604-nucleotide long non-coding RNA is filed under the name Capra hircus (goat). RNAcentral's name for it is "lncRNA (ENSCHIG00000002640.1)". Lineage: Eukaryota; Metazoa; Chordata; Mammalia; Artiodactyla; Bovidae. The record is from RNAcentral.